RNAcentral lists this transfer RNA (74 nucleotides) under archaeon. Its description in RNAcentral is "tRNA-Arg". It matches the Rfam family "tRNA". Rfam says of the family: Transfer RNA (tRNA) molecules are approximately 80 nucleotides in length. The record is from RNAcentral.
GGGCCUAUAGCAUAACCUGGAUAGUGCAACCGGCUUCGGACCGGUGUAUGGGGGUUCAAAUCCUCCUAGGCUCA